AGAAAACACAAGAAAAGCUGUCGCUACACUCUAAAGCAGAUUCCCCACACUCAUUCACGGUUGUGGUUUUCAUCCCGAGAACCACAGUGAACUGGAGCUUUAGAAACUGCUACUCAAACGACUAUUUUCCUAGCAUAUCCUCCUUCAUGCAAGAAUUUAGGUCUGCCUGGGGACACAAGUGAAACAUUAGGGAACUACUACUGACCCCUUUCUGUAUUACACUCUCCUUGCUCUAACCGGAAACUGCGUUUUUAUUCAACACCUCAUUUAAAGAAAAUUCAGAGAUGCUGAAUUUUCCACUUAUAUGGCAAAUCCUUUCCCCAUCCUCUCUAUUUCCCCAGAGAAGGGCAAAACGGCAAAUAUCAAGGUUAAUUUUGUCUUUUGCAAGCUCACCCAGUCUCUCUGGCUGUGCAGUGCAGCCAAGGCAUAUUUCCAUAUGUGUGUUCACCCCAUGCACGUAAGCUCCCAGAAUGAUUGGUGUAUUUGCUUGUUAGCACACUUUCACUUGUAGGGAUGUUAUCAGGAUUUCAUGGGAAAAUUAAACAGGUUGCAUUUCAAACAGGUGGACAGAUAUAAAAGAUGCAGUAACUGUACCUGAUGAAGGCUGGUCAUCUUAUCUAAUCACUUGUUUUCUGAUUAAAAUCCCCAGAGGCCUUAGGAACUGAUAUCUGAUUAAAAUCCCCAGAGGCCCUGGGAACUGAUAGAGACCAAGGCAGGGUAGAUCUCCUCUGCCUGGCUCUACGAUGGGACCUGGAAAUGCAGAGCUUCUCCAGUUAAUUGGCUAAUUACUUGUCCUAAGAAGUUUUCCCACUUCAUACCCUGGAGUGAAGAAAGCCACAGCUGGUUGGGCACAGGGUGGAGGAAGACAACUCAGAAUAGGCGGUGAUGGAGAAAGAGUGAUGGAGUAGCAUGCAAGCUGUAGUUAAGAAAUGGGUCUUGAGGCCUUGAGUCUAUAGUAACCAAGUCAGGUCCAGGGCCUGGUGAGCCUAUUGGCAUUUUAUUUUCUCUAACAUGAGCGUGCUAGCAAUGACGAUGACUAAAGUCCUGUCAUCUCAUAUUUACAAUAAGAAGCUGCCAUGGAAUUAUACUAUAACUCUGGUGGUAAGGUUACAGCUAUAGCUUCCUACUUUUGCAAGGAAAUGCCACCUUUCAGGAUUGAACCCUUUUCUUCCUGAGUGAAACUGUACUGUUAAAACCAAUUUUAAGAAAAUGACUGGUUUCUUGCGGAAGAAGUGGUUUUGUGGGUGACCCUGCUGUUACGUACUUCCUGUGAACAGCUGUUCCACUUUCAUGGGAUGCUUCCUCAAACCAGUAGUUUUGAAAACAACAGGAAGAGAUGGAGAGUAUGGCAAUGAGUCAAAGCGAUGCCCACCCACCUCGCCUCUCUCCAGGGAAGCUAAAAAGACUGGAAGCCAAAUCUUGGGUCUUUUCAAAGGCAAAGAAAUUGGUGCAGUGCAAGAGAUGGAGGUUUGAGCAGUCUGCUUGCACAGAGCAUGGUGUGGGAAGAGAUUGGCUAGCAGUCCUCCAGCAGUCUCCGCUGGGGAGCAUUCUUAUGAGAACGGGCGCUCCCAACCCUCUAAGUGGCUGUGGAAAUCUGGACAACUGAUCAGCAGCCCUGGUAUAUGACCUUCUGGCUUGACCUGUACAAGUGACAAUAGAUGGAGUGAUGGUCAGACUAAUUAUGAAAGUUUAAUUCGGGGGACAUGUCUCCAGCUGGGACAUGAUCUAGCAUUAAACAGAGCAACUGAUUUGUAUAGAGUUCUGCCUACAAAGUGAAAACCUCAAAUUUCUUUUAAAUUCUACAAACUUUUGAAAAGGGUGACUUCUUGUUUCUUGGAUGCAUUUUAAAUCAUUAUUUCCUUUUGGGAUUGUAGUGGAGCAGGGAAUCUCAAUUCAGGGUAGAGCGGGUCGGUGAUGCACUGGAAGCCUUAUGCUCAGGAUCUGUGUCCCCGAAGCAGUCAUUGUAGCUGACAGGCUUCAAUGAAAUGAAACCCAGACAUUUCCUUUAAAAAAAUUUGAAACACGUGAAUUGAUUUUAAAAUGCCUUCUCUCUCAUUCCCUAAUAAAGUCUUUAAAACAUAUUACUGCUUUAACUGUUACUUUUCAGCAUGAAGCUACAAAACAAUACGUGCCAGAAUUAAACCACAGAACAAAAAUCCAAAUUCUGCCAGUGACUGAGUGAGAUGUUUCCACGUGUGGGUCUUCUUGUCCUUGUUAGGGCUGAGAGAAACGGGACAGUAAGCAGACAGAUUAGAAAGCACCUGGGGGAACUGGACCAAACUGAAGCACAAACAUCCUAGAGCCCAGGAAACAGCCAGUGUGCACAUUCCAAGCUGACGUGGGCAUAGCUGGUGUUAAACAUGUCUAUGGUGUUAAGUGGGCAUCAUGGGAUACACAAUUUGUACAUAGACAUGUGUGCUCAUGAACACACACACACACACACACACACACACACACACACACACACACACACACACACACACACGAGGAAGGAUCCUUGUAAUUAAGAAGACUAUCGAGAUCUAGAGAACAACUCUAAACUAUUUCCAAGAGGAAAUCCAGCAGUUCUAGAGCAAACUAAGAGGCCUGGGAACAUAGUUUGGUAGAAGAAUGUUUGCCUAGCAUCUAACAGGCUCCAUGCUAGAGCCUCAGGACUGAAAACGUAGAAGGGAGGAGAAUGAUCUUCAGGGCACAUGUCUCCUCCCUACUGACUGCCCUGUACCUCGUCCCAACAUACGCUGAACUAAAGGAAAAUAGAAACGUUUUCUCUGUCCAACUCAUUUCCGUGUUUAAUUGAAAUCCUUCACUGGAAAUUCUUUUGAAAGGCAUACUAAUAAUCAAGUAUUGGGUAAUUGCUCAAGCCAAGGCUAUAGGAGAGAUGGCAGAGGCAAUAACACCAGUCCAGAUGCCUUUGUAUGACUCCCCAAGGUGUAAAGGCUACCUGGCAUCACAUUUCUCCUCCACAGAUAAUUAAAAAUAAAACUAUAGCUAAUAAGAUAAAUAUGGUACUGCAUUUAUUUUUCUGCAGUACUGGGUACCAAAAACAACUGGUGCCGGGGCUUUGAAAAUCAGUAAAACUCUUAUAGCAGAUGAAUGCUUAAAUGAAACUUUGUAUAAACCUAUCUGAUAUCAAGAUGCUUUUAACAGUUUGUCACUACUAACAAGGGGUUAUUACUUAUACUUUUCCUUGAUUUCAGUAACUUUGAGUCUUCAUUUUCAACUUUGAUUUCAUUUUUCUUCUUGUCGUCGUCUAUGUGAUAUACACAUGACUGUGACGGGCGGAUGCUGACACCGGGAGUCUUCCUCAACCUCUUCUCCAUCUUGUGAUACGAGACAGGGUCUCUCACUGAACCUGGAACUUGUUCAUUUGGCUAGACUGGGGUGAGUAGCCUGCAGGCACCCAUGAUCCUCCUGCCUCUGCCUCCUCAGCCCAAGAACUACAGGCGCACAAUGUGUGCCCAGAUUUUGGCACAGGCCCGGGAGAAGCAAUCUAAGGUCCUCAUGCUUGCAAUAAUAAGUGAGCACUUUACCAACUGAGGGGGUCUCCCUAGAAGCUUUUGUAAAAAGGUCACAAAGCAGUGGGUUUCCUUAUAUCAUCUUCACGCACACGCGACCGCACUUUGCUUUCAUUCACUCCCCUCUUGUGGGAAGCUCAUGUGAAAUGCAACCAGUGUGUCUUCUGCUGAGGUGAGGGUGGGUUGCCUGGCUUCAGUCGUUGCUCCCGGUUUUCACAAUAGACAUCCAUGAUCUAGGGGAAUGGUAUGAUUCCUUUCAUGUUUUAAUCCAAUGAGCUGGGUAGCCAAUGGAAAAGCUGUGUUUCGUCACUUGUCUGGAGACUUUGUUAAUGGAGAUGCAGAAGACGAGGUGUGGCAACUGUGUGAAUGUGUUAUGAUAGAUCUUACUACAGGUUUGGAAAUAGUCUCAGCGCAUGUUAAUGUGUAUUAUUAUUCUCCAUAGUACAUCUAUAUAGCGUGGGUUAAAAAUUAAAAAUUCUGAGCAGGCAGCACACUAGAGCUGACUCUGUUGGAGGGGGGUGCAGGUGAGCUGGGCCUGUGUAUGUGAGAGCAGGAGAGCUGCCCCUAGCCCUUCCCUCGUAUGCCAUGGGACGGCAAAGGUAAGGGAAAUAUGUCCUGCCCCCCGACCCUUGUCACCUGCAGCAGGUGGGAGAGCAGACCUUAGGGCCAUGAGAAUGGUACAGCUGGUCCUACCCCUCACCAAAUGUAGCAAUCAAGAGAGUUGGCCCUGCAGCUCACCUGGACAAAACAGUAGAGCUGGCCCUGGUGGUGUGAGUGCUGGUGAGCUGGACCUGCUCUCACAAGAGCAGGAGAACUGGCCCCAUUCACUGCUGUCUGCUACAUCAGGUGAGCUAGCUGGGGUAGUGCUGGAGAACUUGCCUGGGUGAUGAAAACGAGGGAAAGCUGGCAGGCUGACUAACCUAGCUACCACACAGGCCCAGAAUGAGGACUAUAAGGUAGCCCAUCCCAACACCAACCUCAUCUAUGAACUGCUGCAGUAUGUGAAGGGGCCGGGAUGUAGAUGUGAAGGGAUCCUGCAGAUCCAAAGCUACAGGAUCUCUAUUGACAAAAGGCAACAAUAGGAUAUUCAAGAGAAGUUCCAGUGAGGGCCCAGUAUGGAGGGUAUAGCAGAAGCCAGUGACCUCUAACCAGACUAAAGACUCAUUGCAAUGAACAGUUACAUGUGAAGAUGUAUGGACUAAAGGUUAAACUGUGUGACUCACUGGGCCACACUACAGCUUCCAUGUCAAGAUGUUUUAAGUUUGUUUGGUUUUGCUUUUAAAUUUUGUUUUGAAGGGGAGGUUACAAGGGUCAAGGGAUGGGGAGAUAAAUGAGAUUGGGAUGCAUGAUAUGAAAUCCAGAAAGAAUCAAUAAAAAGUUAAAAAAAAAUUCUGAGCCAGGCGUGGUGGCUCAUGCCUUUAAUCCUAGAACUUAGGAGGCAGAGGCAGGUGGAUCUCUGUGAAUUUGAGGCCAGCCUGGUCUCCAGAAUGAAUUCCAGGACAGCUAGGGCUUCACAGAGAAAACCUGUCUCAAAAAAAAAGAAAGAAAAAAGAAAAAGAAAUAAAAAAUAAAAUUCUGAUAGAGUUCUCAUAAUUGCUUGUUUUACAAGUUUCUUUACAAUACCAAGGCAUUCUGGGGUCCAAACUCUUCAGAUUUCCUCUUGGUUUAGUCCUGAAUCAGUAGUAAUAGUAAAUAGCUGGGCCUGUCUUGUGUGCGUAUGGUACAUGCACAUGAGGACUCACAUGUAGAAGCCAGAGCAGGACAUCUGGUAUCACUCUGCACCUUUUUACAUGAAGACCGUACUGGAAGCUCACAUGGCUGGCUAGGCUGGCUGGCUAGAAGGCUCACUCUGGGGAUCCACCUUAUCUGCUACCAAUGUUGGGGUUUCAGGCACGCACAUACAAACUUGGCUUUUUAUUUGGUCACUGGGGAUCCCAACUCAGGUCUUCAUGCUUAUACAGCAAGGGCUGUUAGACACUGAGCCAUCACCCCCAGUCUGCUCCUUCUGUCACAUAACAUCUUUAAUCUGGGCACAUGUACCUCUAGGAUAAUUUUUAAUUCUAAAAGAUCAAGUAAAUUUUCCUAGAAUGAACGCUUUUGAAACUGGGACACAAUGAAUAGUGUGUUUUAUUUGCUUAAUAUAGUCAUACAGAGAAACGAUUUUUUAGUAAAAUCAUUCCCCUUGAUAUUUGCACACGGUGAAUACUUCCUCAUCACUGUUGUUUGUUUCAAUAAGACAUGUACUGGAAAUCUUAAAAAAUCUAUACAUAUUCCUGAGAGAAUAUCCUUUCAACACUCAAAUUGAUUUUUCUUUAGAGUCAUGUUCAGAUUUCAGAAUGUUUAUGACCAUAUCCCCUGCUAACCACUGGGGGAAAAAAUUCUCUCCUCUGCAGUGUGCAAGGGAAUUCUUGUAUUUCUCUCUCAACACUUAUAUAGUGCUCUUGAGUUUGGACUAAGAUGAGUUUGUCCUUAUUCACUCUUAGUUUCCCUCAGACAUCGUUGAGGAGUUUGAAAUUCUUACUUAAAUUUUUAGAUGGAUUCCACUUAGAAAUUCCAUAAACAACCAACUUAAGAAUGUUCCAAGAAAAUGAUAGUCAUUAAGCUGAUGACUUUGCAUAACAUCUUGAAUAGAUGAAUAUUGGAGGGCUGUGUUCACAUACUGUGCCAAGUAUCUGAUUGAGGUAAGCAUCCAUUGCAAAGUAGUUCCACUUCUAAGAAAUAGUAGCGAGAUAACAUUAUUAAAGCCAAUGGGUAUCUUUUUGAAUGUGACUUUUGAAACUUGGACAGCAUUUUAGUAAGAAAGUGUUUGAGAAGCCAACAAGACUCCCUCUGCAACAUCAUCUCCACUGUAGUGCUUAUUUAAUUCUUGAGAAAAGUAUAAUACUUAGGAUAAAAUAGCAUGGGUUACAAACGACUUUAUGGAAAUCCUCCUUUAAUAUGGUAAAGCUUGUGACUCCUAACACAAGCUCUGCCAAAACAGAACCUUAUUGGCCAACCCUAGGAGAUACACAGAGGAGCAUGCUAUGACUCCUGAAUUGCAUCCUAAUAAUAAUACGUGGAAAUGUAUUUCCAUUUCUAGAUCUCUGAAAAGAAAUAUAGUCCGAGGUGUACCCAUCUAGCGCUUCAAUCUUUUCUCCAAUCUUCACUCAUGAGUUUCAAGAAUGGAAACGGGAAUUGAAAAAAAAACUUGGGAGAAAUAAAAGCCAUUUGGGGCAGAGGGGUGGGGAGAUGGCUCAGUGGAUAAAGAUGCUUCCUGUGCAAGCCUGGCGAACUGAGUUUGAACUCAGGAGCCUAUAUAAAGUUGACAGAAGAGAACUGACUCCAUAGUGUUGUUCUCUGACUUCCACAUACCUCCACAUACACACCAUAGCACAGGUAGUACCCUCUAUAAUAACACAUAAAAAAAGGUAUUUGCAAAUAGCAAAGUCAGGCUAAAGAUAACAUAUGCAAUUGAGGGGCUUUGAUCCCCUAGUAGACUCCUGAAGUACUGUUAGCUCUAGGGUCUGAAGUAUGAGCAAGGCUACAGAAAUUCAUGUUCCCCCUUCAUAAAUAAGUCUGUAUAAUUAUGAAUUUGUAAUAAAGUGACUGCUGUAUUGGAGCUACUAAUCAAGGUUGCCUAUUAUUUAUGUUAUGACACAGGGUCCUACUAAGCUGGCCUGGCUGCCCCCAGUUGAUCUUUUCCCUUUGAGACAAUUUGGGACUGCAAGUAUGUUUAGCUAAAAAGAUCACUUUUGUACUUAGAACUAAAUCAAGACUAAGGUAAAUACUGAAAGUUGGAACGUCGUCUGAAAAAUUCUAUUGAUUCUUUCGUGGGCAGAUUCACCAAAUGACAAUGCAUUUCAUUAUCUCAACAACAGCCUGAUGGAAUUCUACUUUGGGAAGUGAAGACUGCUACAAGAUGGUACAGGAUCCUUUUUAGGUAUUUUUGACUUUGGUAUUUUGAUGUUUCAAGUGACUAUCGAAAAAGCUAAAAGCAUAGCCUAAUAAAACUAUUUCUCUUCUUUUCUAGCUUUCAACCUUGAUGCUAUGACUGUGAGCAGGCUGUUGAAGCUUUGUGUGUCAUGGUUUCCAAACUGUAUCAAAUAUCCAUAACAAGGCUCCCCUCAUGAGCUUGCUGAGGAUGAAGGAAGUUCACACAUGGGUCACACCUGGACAUAGCCAAGACCAUUUAUCAAAUAUCACACUGUACAUGAAAAGCCCUCUUUUGAGUUGUUAGGGUUUUCCGAGAGACUCCCAAAAUAUUACAGGCUAUUGUUACUACCCUUGGUGGCCUCUAGAGAUGUAAGUUAAGUCCUUGUUGCUGAAGAAACCAGAGGCCCCUGAGCUGGAACUCAUCUCAAUGUCUCUUCCCUGAGGACCUGUUUUCAUGGUAUCAGAAGCAUGCAAGUUUCCAAAGGAGAUAAGUGUAUCCUCACCCCUCAUCAAGGAAACUCCUCUUUGCAACAGAUGAAGAUCACUACAGUAAACCACAACCUAUCAAAAUACAGACUUGUGGAGUCCAGUCCUAAUGGAUAUAUCUACAAAACAACUCAUGCAUCUAAGGCCCAGAGAACAUUGUGGAAGAAGGGGCAGAAAGACUGUAAGAGACAGAGGAUCAGGGAGUUGGAUAUGAGACUGUAUCUCCUAGUACUGUGAGAAGCUACAUCCAUAAAGUCUCACGAACAUGACUAUCUAAACUUGAUCUGAAUGAGGACACAACAAUAGGCAUGCCAAAGUGGAUAUGGAAAAGGGAAGGCCUCAACCAUACAGAAAAAAUAAUUACAGGUAGUCAAGGAAUGUUGUGAGUGGGAGAAAUCAUCUUCCCCAGGGAAGAACACACCAAUUCGUUAUCCAAUACCACAUGGUCAGCCCCGAAAACACAUAUACAAGUAACAUUAUAAAGUCUGAGAAGGUAAUAUUUAGGAAUAUACACAUAUAUACAUGUAUGCAUACAACAACAACUAAUGAAAAAAGAGGUCAUGAAUUUAAAAGAGAGAAGGGGGUAUUUGGGAGGUUUUGGAGGGAAAAAAGGAAACAGAGAAAUGAUAUAUUAUAAUCUAAAAAAAUGAAAGAAAAAAGAAAUCAGCAGCUUGUAUGAACAAUAUACAUUCUGCAUAAAUAAUCAAACAUUUAAAAAGUGAAAUAAAUUUAUGCUUUAAGAAAAUACCUAGUCUUACAAUUAGAUAGUUAUAAAAGCCUUAGUAAAUUCAAUUUACAGAUACUUUGUUAUAAGUUUACAGAAUGUUUUCAUUUUUAUUUGAAUUAAUAAAUAUGACUUAGAACUGAGCUGUGGAACCAAAGAAUGAAUGGGAGUGUGGGUGGGGCUCCCUGAAAACAAGCUAUUGCAAGAAAAAGAGGAAAAUGAAAUAUAAAUCUGCUUAUUCACCUUGUUAUAGUCCAAUAAUUACAGUCACAGAGAUAUGGCCCUGAUGAGCAGAUACUCUUUACAUCAAUUUACAGAGUGUUUGAUAAUCCUCUUUUACCUAGUUAUGUAAAGAAAGUGGCAUCACCAGAAAGGAAGGGCUAUAAUAACAGAAAGAUCCGGACAUUGUAUAGCUAGUCCUUGGCUUUUAAGAUCCAUUGAAAUCUGAGUUAAGUUACAAUUCAGUUGUGCACCUAGAUUAGCUUUGAUUCCAUUUCAUCCCCUUAACCCCACACCGUGAUAUCUAUAUCAGUAUCACAUGCAAUCAUUUCUGCAUGAUACAUAUAUUAUAUUUCAAAAUGAAUGUCAAUUCACCUUAUUUUAUUAGGUAAACUCAUAAAGUAUGAAGGCUCAUCUUGAGCACAAUGGAUAAGUAUCAAAUAAAUUACCACUAUUCUUAUUUAAUAACUGGUUUAACUUGGUUUUUGUUUGUUUAUUUUUUGAGAUAGGGUUUCUUUGUGUAGCCCUGGCUGUCCUUGAACUAGCUCUGUGGACCAGGCCAGCCUUGAACUCAACAGAAAUCCACCUGGGUGCCACCGCCACCCAGCUGAUUUUGUUUUAAUGCACAUGCCAUAUGUUUGCUUCAAACUUCACUGAGGUCCUCAGCAAAAACAGUACACACUCUUAACCAUUGAGCCUUGACUCCAGCCCAAUUACUGGUGUAACUUUGAAAUCAAUAGUUCGCAGCCUUGAUCUAGAUUCACUUAGAGAUUUUGUAAGAACCACACCAUUGAGACAUAGCAUCUGCAAUCUACUCAAUCCUGCAGUGUUGUAUGAUUCCCUGACAGUCUGUGCUUUAGAUGAAGGAGGCUAUGAACAAAAUAUAGCAAACUGCACUUAACCUUAAAAAGAGUGAAAGCGCUUCAAGAUAUUUCACUUGUGAAGAUAUUAGAAACACAAAAGUCUGAGGUGUGAUGAUGCCACAAUACACUGUGCUCCGUGAAGGCAAUUAAAGUGGUUUUAGCACUAGAUCCUGAUGAAAGAAAGGAACAGACUCAGGGAAGGAACAUCGGCACCUUUGCUGUUGGCUUUUUAACUUCAGCCACAAAGUCUAAACAACUCCGUCCGACAAUGAUGGGCUGAUGAUUUGCUAGCCACCUGCUCCCACCUCUGCCCAGGCUAGUACUUGCUAGACCAACACAGGCACCUGCUGCUGAUUUGCUCCCUUUUGCUCCUCACUGGGGGCAGUCAGGGUUCUUUAACAAGCCGAGACCAUGAAAGCUGAGGGGCUCCAAACUGCUACCGCCAGCCAUGAGAGGGCAGUUGGCACAAGACAAUGAAAUUUUUUUCUCCCUGGGCAGGUGGCUACUGCUGAGAUCCUUCUGGAAAGAAAUCAAAAUCCUAAUAGGAGUGGAAAAUCACCGGCAUCAAGAGCCUUGGGAAGCAAUUUUUCCUUGUGCUUAUUCUGGGCUUUACUCUUCCUGUUGAUGGCCCAUUUCUUGAUGAGUGCUCUCUCACUCACCGAAGACUGUGCUUUGCAAUGAGCACCUUGGGAACAAAGGAGAGAAGCAAGCGAAUCCAAUAAUUUGUGUAAUCUUUCAACUGUUACCUACACUUCUCAUUCCAUUAUCCUAACCGUAUGCUUGUAAACUGUCCCCAAAGAGGCACUUAGGAACCCAUUUAUUGAAGUCAAGUAUGGUGGUCAUACCAGGAAUCCUGGCGUUUGGGGAGGCAGGAGGAACAGGAGUUCAAGGUCAUCCUCAGCUACAUAGUGAGUUGGAGGUUGACCUGAGUAUUUGAGAGAGACCCAGUGAUAAAAAGCCAAAAGUAAAAUAAGAUAAAAUAAAUAAAAUCAGAAAUAAAGGAGGAAAAAAGGAAACCUUCUAGUUGAAUACAAAGCCAUUUUCUCCUUAUGUUUCAGUGUUGUUUUAAUUAGGGAUACUAUAAGCUUGAGACCCAUCUACGUUCUUAAUAUAAGAGGAUUUGAUACGUAUAAAAUUGUGUGUGUGUAGAAUUAUGUUUUAAAAAACUUUGAUUGUUUAAAUUUUGGAGUUAUGCAAAACAGAAUUGUUCAUGUCAGAAAGUUUUUGGAGUUGGGGGAGAAUUCCCGGCAGCAGGUGAAUGGCAGUAGUAACUGAGGGAAUGGCACAUUGCUGCUGUCUACCCAGUGUCUAUUUCAGGGCGAUUCCGUUUCAUAACGUAAGAAUGGAAGUGUGGUUUGUACAUUUCCUCCAGUGCCUUGUCACCACCACAACCCAUGUCGAAACAGUUGGGACUAACAUAUGUUCCUCUCUGGAAUGAAGAUCCCUGCAUGCCUUUAAUACGAUGAGUCAUGGUCUUUUCACCAAAGUUAGGGAAUAAAUCUUGGCUUCUUUUCUCCCAUUUUCAUUUCUGUUUUUAAUGAAAGAAAAAAAAAAAAACAAAGCAAAUCACUAACUUGCCUUUCAGUCACCUAAAAACUAACCUGAAGACUGUGUAUUUCUGAACCCAUGUAUUAAAAAUAAGAGUGUAAGUUUUCUUUUCUUACAUAAUUUAUCAUCUCUUCAUCUAACAAAGUAAAUGCUAAAUGGGGCAGAGUCAACUUGUUUAAGAAAAAGCAAGACAUGAGAAGCAGUACUAACGAUCCCAACCAUGAGCCAGAUAAAACUGAACUGGGAGCUAGCAUAAGUUCUAAUUCAUCCCCCAACACAUGGAGAGUGCUCACUGGUGACAGACGAGAGUGAUAGCUUCCCUGCUCUGUCCUCAAUUAGACAACAGAAGUAGCAGCUGUGCUGACAUCUAGGAUGCAAGAGAAGUUGAAGAUGUCUACCUCCCCAAGACCAUUCCUCAAUUAAUGCUCAAAAAAUUUAACAGCAUGACAUUUUCAUUUCAGGUCACCUAGUGAUGGUGGAUUCUAUAAGCACUUAUAGGAACCAUCUUGAAACACUACUUUGGGAUGAAAUUUUCUUAACUUAAAGACACAGCCAUUAAAAAAUGAAGCUCCUUUGAUAGAGCACUGCAGAAAGAUUUUAAUUAUAGCUUAUAAAAAGUCAUCUUCCAAAAACCCAACUUAAUAAUGGGAUUCAUUAUUUUUAUUUAAUUUUUUACUAAGGAAUUUUUUUAUUCAUUUUACAUACUAAUCUCAGAUCCCCCUCUCCUCCCUCCUUCUCCCCUCCUGCCAAAUCCACCUCCAUUCCCUCCUCAAACAAGGCAAGGUCUCCCAUGGGUAGUCUGCAGAGCCUGGUACAUUCAGUAGAGGCAGGUCCAAGCCCCUCCCCCUGCAUCAAUGCUGGACUAGGCCCUCUGCAUUAUUUUUAUUUUUAAUUCCAGAAUCCCUACCGCUAUGGUGAAUGGCCUGAUAAAACCACUAAUGGUCAAAGUAUUUCAGGCUCAAAUUAUCCUUGUGUGGUUUGUAUAAUAGUUCAUUAGAGUGCAAACAGCAUUUUAAUAGCCAAUUUAGAGCAUUCAAUGAUAAUCAAGAUUUACCAAAAAUAUACUUCUUAAAUGUCAUGUUUAACCUAGAAAUGAGUAGAACCACUCAAAGGUUAACUUAUUUUAUGUGUCUGAGUGUUCUGUCUGCAUGUGUGUCGGUGUACCAUGUGCAUGCCUGGUGCCUGCAGAGGUCAGAAGAAGUUAUCAGAUGCUCUGGAACUGGAGUUACAAAGGGUUCUAAGCCACCAUGUGGGUGCUGGGCAUUGAACCCAACUCUUCUGUAGGGGUUUUAGCCCUUUCCUUUCCUUUUAUGUAUCAUUUCAUAUGUCAGUUCUUCAGGAAGAAGGUAAACACAUACUUGACAUUGUCACCUGCCUUUGUUUUUCUGAGGUGGACUGAUUCAAUCGUUAAACAUAAAUAUAUUUUACUGCCCUUGCCUGAUACAAAGAAUAAUGCUCUCAUAAUAAAUAUGUAAAACAAUCAAUUUUGGCAAAUAAAACUCUCCAAAUCACUCAGGUUUAAUAUUACAACCCAUUAGAGUGUUACAAGACUUCCUCGGGUCAUGAAAAUAAUUCCUUCUAUCAAAAAUGUCUUUCCCUGAUUUUCUUCAAAUCAAGUUGGCAUUGCCACCGGAGGUCAGAUGCCCAUUUCAAGUGUCCUCCUAAGGAAGGGUGUGUGCAUGGGUGUGUGUGUGGGGGGGGCAGUGUUUUAGUCUGAGAUGAAGCCCACAGGACUGGGAAUCCAUCUCUAUAAUUUGCUAGGUCAACUCAUGCUUGUAAUCUUGGGCUGGAAAGAAGGAAGUAGUGCAUCAAAGUGGCCGUCAACACUGAGUCACUCUGCAUUUAAAGCUCCUUAUUGGAAAGAGUGCCAGGGUGAGCUCAGACACUUACAGAGUUAAGCGUGUGUCUGAAAACUAAAAGGUUGCAGGGUUAGAAAAUUGAGAUGGUGUUAUGUGUUGGCAGGUCACAACAACUCCUUAGAUGGAAGAAAUCAGCUGCCGCAUUCCUUGUAAAAAAAAUUCCUGUGAUUUAUCUGUGAGGUAAUAAUUCUAGGAAGAACUAGACUUCCGGUUAGGGAAUUGAGCAGGAAUUUAGUUUUCCUACUGAAAAAGCCCAGAAUUCUCAUUUUCUAUAUGCAUAAAAUGCACUGCUGCAUGAAUUAAAACAUACACUAUUGUUAAUGGGCAUUAUGUGAUCGGAUUCAAUGUGACCUGAAGCUAAUUCAUAGUUCUAGUUCAGAAUGCCUUUGAACUGAGUUCAGAG
Long non-coding RNA from Peromyscus californicus insignis, 13529 nucleotides. RefSeq lists it as uncharacterized. NCBI's taxonomy places the organism in Eukaryota, Metazoa, Chordata, Mammalia, Rodentia, Cricetidae. The transcript has 3 exons. The record is from RefSeq and is a predicted model, not a curated record.